RNAcentral lists this ribosomal RNA (259 nucleotides) under uncultured bacterium. Its description in RNAcentral is "partial small subunit ribosomal RNA". It matches the Rfam family "Bacterial small subunit ribosomal RNA", at positions 26 to 285 of the family's 1533-position model. The record is from RNAcentral.
AGGACGAACGCUGGCGGCGUGCUUAACACAUGCAAGUCGAGCGGAAAGGCCCUUCGGGGUACGUCGAGCGGCGAACGGGUGAGUAACACGUGAGCAACCUGCCCUUAGCUCCGGGAUAGGCUCCGGGAAACCGGAAUUAAAUACCGGAUACGACCACGGCCGACAUCUGCUGUGGUGGAAAGGAUUCCGGCUAAGGAUGGGCUCGGCGGCCUAUCAGGCUAGUUGGUGGAGUAACGGCCCACCAAGGCGACGACGGGUA